This 490-nucleotide ribosomal RNA is filed under the name uncultured bacterium. Its description in RNAcentral is "partial 16S ribosomal RNA". It matches the Rfam family "Bacterial small subunit ribosomal RNA", at positions 29 to 505 of the family's 1533-position model. The record is from RNAcentral.
AGUGAACGCUGGCGGUAGGCCUAACACAUGCAAGUCGAACGGCAGCACAGUAAGAGCUUGCUCUUACGGGUGGCGAGUGGCGGACGGGUGAGGAAUACAUCGGAAUCUACUUUUUCGUGGGGGAUAACGUAGGGAAACUUACGCUAAUACCGCAUACGACCUACGGGUGAAAGCAGGGGAUCUUCGGACCUUGCGCGAUUGAAUGAGCCGAUGUCGGAUUAGCUAGUUGGCGGGGUAAAGGCCCACCAAGGCGACGAUCCGUAGCUGGUCUGAGGGGAUGAUCAGCCAAACUGAAACUGGGAACCGGUCCAGACCCCUACGGGAGGCAGAGGGGGGGAAUAUUGGAAAAUGGGCGAAAGCCUGAUCCAGCCAUACCGGGUGGGUGAAGAAGGCCUUCGGGUUGUAAAGCCCUUUUGUGGGGAAAAAAAAGCAGCAGGUUAAUACCCCGCUGUUCUGACGGUACCCAAAGAAUAACCACCGGCUAACUUCG